This 88-nucleotide transfer RNA is filed under the name bacterium. RNAcentral describes it as "tRNA-Ser". It matches the Rfam family "tRNA". From Rfam's summary of the family: Transfer RNA (tRNA) molecules are approximately 80 nucleotides in length. Their secondary structure includes four short double-helical elements and three loops (D, anti-codon, and T loops). The record is from RNAcentral.
GGAGAGGUCGCAUAGUGGCCGAGUGCGCGCGCUUGGAAAGCGCGUAUCCGGAAACGGAUCGUGGGUUCGAAUCCCACCCUCUCCGCCC